AUGGAUCGUGAGGUCCUGGAGCGUAUACUUGAUGGAAGAGAGAAGCCGACAAAUCUAUCACUCGCACUUUUGAAGGAUAUCACAGAAAAUUUCUCGGAUGAUCGAGAAAUCGGUCACGGUGGAUUUGCAACUGUUUAUAAGGGAGUGCUUCGUAAUGGGAACAUUGCUGUAAAGAGGAUAAGGAACAGUCAUUCAAUCAAUGAGACUUUAUUUUAUCGAGAAGUUGACAGCCUGUUGAACAUUAAACAUAAAAAUGUUGUACGCUUUCUUGGCUUCUGUGCUAGCACAGAUCAGAUAGCCAUACAAAUUGCAGGAUCAAAACGACAUAUUUAUGCUGAGGUAAGAGAAAGACUACUCUGUUUUGAGUAUAUCAGCAAUGGAAGUCUACAAAAGUAUGUUACUGAUGAAUUAAGAGGACUGGAAUGGAAUACACGCUAUGGAAUAAUUAGAGGAAUCUGUGAAGGUUUGCAUCAUCUGCACACGGAGAAGCACAUAUAUCAUAUGGAUUUGAAACCUGGCAAUAUACUACUAGAUAAUGAUAUGGUGCCGAAAAUCACAGAUUUCGGUUUAUCAAGACUUGAUGAAAAGUCAAAAACCAUGAGUGAAGACCGUCUCGGAUCACUAGGAUAUUGUGCUCCAGAGUACAUAUCUGAAGGAAAUAUGUCAUUCAAAUCAGACAUGUACAGUUUGGGCAAAAUAAUCAUCGAGCUAGUGACGGGAGGAAAGGAGAUCCUCAAUAAUAGCAACACUGUACUUAGGAGAUGGAGACACAGAUGGAAAAAAUCUGGAAAGGAAACACCAUUGGUCUACCAACAAGUAGCAAAAUGCAUCGAAAUUGGGUUACUCUGCCAAGAACGUGAACCAUCCAAGCGGCCCUUUAUAUGGGAUAUAAUAAAUGAUAUCAGCCACAUGGAAGUUGUAAAUGAGGAAAUCAACAAUGCCAACGAAUAUACAUUUGGGGAGAUAAGCUCUUGCCUAGAGGAGGAUGAUAUGCUUGGAAUUGAGCCACUCAAACUACAUUUUCCUUUUGCCCUUAACAAACAGAUGUCCUGCGAGAUUCAGCUAACCAAUGAGACGGACUCUUACAUUGCCUUCAAUGUCCAAAAUAUGAGCCCCAAGUCAUACAACACACAACCGCAGAAAGACAUUAUGCCACCACGUUCCAAGUGUAACAUUGAAAUAACACUGCAGGCGCAAGGCAAUGUGCCGAUAGAUAUGCAGCGUGCCAAUGAGUUUGUUGUGUGGAGCACCAAAGUGAAUGAUGGUUUUGCAUUUGAGGAUAUUACUAAAAGCAUGUUCAUCAAAGAGACAGUGAAUGUGGUUGAUGAGGUGAAUUUAGAUGUGGUUUUUGAUGUAAGUGAGCCACAAGAAGCAAGUGACAAAAUCAGUGAGCAGACAAUGCCACCUUUAAUACAGAUCAUAGAUGAUACAGCUGGGAAAAUCUAUUGCAUAGAUGCACAUCAGAAAGAGCGGUUGAUUAUAGUGGGUACCUCACUUGGGAAUGUUAAGACAUGGAACUAUGACACACAGAAAGUGGCCGGUUUGACUAAGGUCUCAGCAGAACCUGUUACGGAUGUGAAGUUCAUUGCACGAAAGGGGUGGUUUGUUGCAGUGUCAUCUGACUGUGUCGUCCAUGUGUACAACUACGAAAAGGAAAUGCAAAAAGUCACGAGUUUCAGAGCUCUGGGUCGUGCAGAUGUUUGGUGUACAUUAGCCGUUCAUCCAACCCAGCCGUAUGUGCUGUCAGGAUGUGCUACCGAAAUAAAGCUUUGGGACCGUAAUUGCAUACAGACAUUUGAAGAGCACUCGGCUGCUAUUAUGGCCCUAAAAUUUAACCCGGAGGACACCAACAGUUUUGCAAGUGCUUCGCAUGAUGCUACAAUAAAGGUUUGGAGUCUUGAUUCUCACAAAUCCAAGUAUACUCUGUUUGGGCAUAGGCAUGUAGUGAACUUCCUGGAUUUCUUCACGCGUGAUGGUCAGCAGUAUUUGAUUAGUGGCUCUUGGGAUGCGACUGCCAAGAUAUGGGACAUGGACAAGAAGGAGUGCGUUCAUACACUUGAACAUGAGUCUGCAGUUUUUCAGGUCGUUUCCCAUCCCAAUCUCCCAGUUCUAAUUACAGGUACAAAGGAUGGUGAUGUUCACGCGUGGAGCUCAAAUGAUUUCAGGCUCAAGAGAAUACAUAACUUUCAUGACAGUGGAUGGGUUGUGGGUCUCGCAUGUUUGGUGGGAUCAGGAAGGCUUGUAGUUGCACACAAAACUGGAGUGUCGUUGAUGGAAAUUCGUGAUGAAGAGGAACAAGGUGGUAGCACAGGCAGCAAUGAGAAUUCCUUAUUAGCGACAAAUUUGGAAAUCCAAAGCUAG
RNAcentral lists this ribosomal RNA (2361 nucleotides) under Triticum aestivum (bread wheat). Its description in RNAcentral is "partial small subunit ribosomal RNA". Lineage: Eukaryota; Viridiplantae; Streptophyta; Magnoliopsida; Poales; Poaceae. The record is from RNAcentral.